This 430-nucleotide ribosomal RNA is filed under the name Bacillota bacterium. RNAcentral describes it as "Firmicutes bacterium partial 16S ribosomal RNA". It matches the Rfam family "Bacterial small subunit ribosomal RNA", at positions 355 to 776 of the family's 1533-position model. The record is from RNAcentral. Lineage: Bacteria; Bacillati; Bacillota.
UGGGGAAUAUUGGACAAUGGGCGAAAGCCUGAUCCAGCCAUGCCGCGUGUGUGAAGAAGGCCUUUUGGUUGUAAAGCACUUUAAGCGAGGAGGAGGCUACUUAGAUUAAUACUCUAGGAUAGUGGACGUUACUCGCAGAAUAAGCACCGGCUAACUCUGUGCCAGCAGCCGCGGUAAUACAGAGGGUGCGAGCGUUAAUCGGAUUUACUGGGCGUAAAGCGUGCGUAGGCGGCUUCUUAAGUCGGAUGUGAAAUCCCUGAGCUCAACUUAGGAAUUGCAUUCGAUACUGGGAAGCUAGAGUAUGGGAGAGGAUGGUAGAAUUCCAGGUGUAGCGGUGAAAUGCGUAGAGAUCUGGAGGAAUACCGAUGGCGAAGGCAGCCAUCUGGCCUAAUACUGACGCUGAGGUACGAAAGCAUGGGGAGCAAACAGG